This 1502-nucleotide ribosomal RNA is filed under the name wastewater metagenome. RNAcentral describes it as "bacterial LSU rRNA". It matches the Rfam family "Bacterial large subunit ribosomal RNA", at positions 830 to 2350 of the family's 2925-position model. The record is from RNAcentral.
CAAUCGAACCUGGAGAUAGCUGGUUCUCCCCGAAAUAGCUUUAGGGCUAGCCUCAAGCUUAGAGAAACGGAGGUAGAGCACUGAAUGUCCUAGGGGGUAUUGCACUUACCGAAGACUAUCAAACUCCGAAUGCCGUAUUCUUAUAAUCGGGAGUCAGACGGCGGGAGAUAAGUUUCGUCGUCAAAAGGGAAACAGCCCAGAUCAACGACUAAGGUCCCAAAGUGGUGGUUAAGUGGGAAAGGAUGUGCAAUUGCACAGACAACCAGGAUGUUGGCUUAGAAGCAGCCACUCAUUUAAAGAGUGCGUAAUAGCUCACUGGUCGAGUGAUCCUGCGCCGAAAAUUUCCGGGGCUAAAACGUACUACCGAAGCUACGGCAUCAUUUAUGAUGGGUAGGGGAGCUUCGUAUGCAGGCUGAAGCAUGACCGUAAGGACAUGUGGACAGUAUACGAGUGAGAAUGUUGGCAUGAGUAGCGAGACGUGGGUGAGAAUCCCACGGGCCGUAAACCCAAGGUUUCCAGGGGAAGGUUCGUCCGCCCUGGGUUAGUCGGGACCUAAGCCGAGGCCGAAAGGCGUAGGUGAUGGACAACAGGUUGAUAUUCCUGUACCGCCAAUAAGCGUUUGAGAGAUGGAGUGACACAGUAGGAUAAGCUAACCGUACUGUUGGUUAUGUACGGCUAAGCAUUGAGGCAGUCUAAAUAGGCAAAUCCGUUUAGACAAUGCUAGGAUGUGAUGGGGAAGCCCUUCGGGGCGAAGUAGCUGAUUUCACACUGUCAAGAAAAGCUUCUAUCGAGUUUAAAGGCGCCCGUACCGUAAACCGACACAGGUGGGUGAGGAGAGUAUCCUAAGGCCAGCGAGAGAACUAUUGUUAAGGAACUCGGCAAAAUGACCCCGUAACUUAGGGAGAAGGGGUGCCUGUCUAUGACAGGCCGCAGAGAAUAGGCCCAAGCGACUGUUUACCAAAAACACAGGUUUCUGCUAAGUCGCAAGACGAUGUAUAGGAGCUGACGCCUGCCCGGUGCUGGAAGGUUAAGGGGAUCUGUUAGAGCAAUCGAAGCAGUGAACUUAAGCCCCAGUAAACGGCGGCCGUAACUAUAACGGUCCUAAGGUAGCGAAAUUCCUUGUCGGGUAAGUUCCGACCCGCACGAAAGGCGUAACGAUUUGGGCACUGUCUCAACAAUAGACUCGGUGAAAUUGUAAUCCCGGUGAAGAUGCCGGGUACCUGCGACAGGACGGAAAGACCCCAUGGAGCUUUACUGUAGCUUGACGUUGGGUCUUGGUACUACAUGUACAGGAUAGGUGGGAGACUAUGAAGCAUGGACGCCAGUCUGUGUGGAGUCAUCCUUGGGAUACCACCCUUGUAGUACUGGGAUCCUAACCAUAGGCCUUGAAUCAGGUCUUGGAACACCGUCAGGUGGGCAGUUUGACUGGGGCGGUCGCCUCCUAAAAAGUAACGGAGGCGCUCAAAGGUUCCCUCAGCACGGUCGGAAAUCGUGCGAAGAGU